This 424-nucleotide ribosomal RNA is filed under the name uncultured bacterium. RNAcentral describes it as "bacterial SSU rRNA". It matches the Rfam family "Bacterial small subunit ribosomal RNA", at positions 355 to 776 of the family's 1533-position model. The record is from RNAcentral. RNAcentral also lists the same sequence under 1 other name.
UGAGGAAUAUUGGUCAAUGGACGAGAGUCUGAACCAGCCAAGUAGCGUGAAGGAUGACUGCCCUAUGGGUUGUAAACUUCUUUUUCAGGGGAAUAAUAAUCGUCACGUGUGGCGUAUUGCAUGUACCCUGUGAAUAAGCAUCGGCUAAUUCCGUGCCAGCAGCCGCGGUAAUACGGAAGAUGCGAGCGUUAUCCGGAUUUAUUGGGUUUAAAGGGAGCGUAGGCGGGAGGUUAAGUCAGCUGUGAAACCCUGUGGCUCAACCAUAGGCGUGCAGUUGAUACUGUCCUUCUUGAGUGCGGCAGAGGCAGGCGGAAUUCGUGGUGUAGCGGUGAAAUGCUUAGAUAUCACGAAGAACUCCGAUUGCGAAGGCAGCCUGCUGGACCGUAACUGACGCUGAUGCUCGAAAGUGCGGGUAUCAAACAGG